GGUUGAGAGGGCUGCGUUAUCGCGGUUCGCUGGGACGGUCAGUCCCACUCAGCUG
This 55-nucleotide non-coding RNA is filed under the name unclassified sequences. Its description in RNAcentral is "DUF3800-VI RNA". It matches the Rfam family "DUF3800-VI RNA". From Rfam's summary of the family: Actinobacteria, Planctomycetes, Proteobacteria, Spirochaetes. Nearby to DUF3800 The record is from RNAcentral.